This 71-nucleotide transfer RNA is filed under the name Caudoviricetes sp. Its description in RNAcentral is "tRNA-Trp". It matches the Rfam family "tRNA". From Rfam's summary of the family: Transfer RNA (tRNA) molecules are approximately 80 nucleotides in length. Lineage: Duplodnaviria; Heunggongvirae; Uroviricota; Caudoviricetes. The record is from RNAcentral.
AUACUCUUGGUGUAAUGGUAACAUGCCGGUCUCCAAAACCGUCGUUGGAGGUUCGAGUCCUUCAGGGUAUG